This 69-nucleotide transfer RNA is filed under the name Bos taurus (domestic cattle). It matches the Rfam family "tRNA". Rfam says of the family: Transfer RNA (tRNA) molecules are approximately 80 nucleotides in length. Lineage: Eukaryota; Metazoa; Chordata; Mammalia; Artiodactyla; Bovidae. The record is from Rfam by way of RNAcentral. RNAcentral also lists the same sequence under 4 other names.
CCUGGUGGCUCAGAGGUUAAAGCGUCUGCCUGCAAUGCGGGAGACCGGGGUUCGAUCCCUGGAUCAGGA